CCUACGGGGGGCUGCAGUGAGGAAUAUUGGUCAAUGGACGAGAGUCUGAACCAGCAAAGUAGCGUGAAGGAUGACUGCCCUAUGGGUUGUAAACUUCUUUUAUGUGGGAAUAAAAUGUUCCACGUGUGGGAUUUUGUAUGUACCAUAUGAAUAAGGAUCGGCUAACUCCGUGCCAGCAGCCGCGGUAAUACGGAGGAUCCGAGCGUUAUCCGGAUUUAUUGGGUUUAAAGGGAGCGUAGGUGGAUUGUUAAGUCAGUUGUGAAAGUUUGCGGCUCAACCGUAAAAUUGCAGUUGAAACUGGCAGUCUUGAGUACAGUAGAGGUGGGCGGAAUUCGUGGUGUAGCGGUGAAAUGCUUAGAUAUCACGAAGAACUCCGAUUGCGAAGGCAGUUCACUGGACUGCAACUGACACUGAGGCUCGAAAGUGGGGGUAUCAAACAGGAUUAGAUACCCGAGUAGUC
RNAcentral lists this ribosomal RNA (460 nucleotides) under uncultured bacterium. RNAcentral describes it as "partial 16S ribosomal RNA". It matches the Rfam family "Bacterial small subunit ribosomal RNA", at positions 338 to 795 of the family's 1533-position model. The record is from RNAcentral.